GACGAACGCUGGCGGCGCGCUUAACACAUGCAAGUCGAGCGAUAAAACUUUAACAGAGCCCUUCGGGGCGAAGACAAAGGGGAUUAGCGGAGGACGGGAGAGUAACACGUGAGUAACCUGACUUAGACAUAGGGAUAGCCUAGGGCAACCAGGAGCAAUACCAAAUAAAAUCAUAAUGACACAUGUCAUAACGAGCAAAACUCCGGUGGUCUAAGAUGGACGCGCGUCCGAUUAGCUAGUUGGUAGUGUAAAAGCCUACCAAGGCGACGAUGGGUAGCCGGGAGGGGAGGCUGACCGAUCACAUUGGAACUGAGGAACAGACCACUAUCGUACGGAAGGCAGCAGUGUGGAACAUUGCAGGAUGGAGGGAGAUCUGAUGCAGCGGCGUCGCGUGAACGAAGAAGGCUUUCGAGUCGUGAAGUUCUUUUAUAUGGGAAGAUAAUGACGGUACCAUAUGAAAAAGCCCCGGCUAACUACGUG
This 480-nucleotide ribosomal RNA is filed under the name uncultured bacterium. Its description in RNAcentral is "partial 16S ribosomal RNA". It matches the Rfam family "Bacterial small subunit ribosomal RNA", at positions 28 to 507 of the family's 1533-position model. The record is from RNAcentral.